This 445-nucleotide ribosomal RNA is filed under the name uncultured bacterium. RNAcentral's name for it is "bacterial SSU rRNA". It matches the Rfam family "Bacterial small subunit ribosomal RNA", at positions 354 to 796 of the family's 1533-position model. The record is from RNAcentral.
GUGGGGAAUUUUGGACAAUGGGGGCAACCCUGAUCCAGCGACGCCGCGUGAAGGAUGAAGGUCUUCGGAUUGUAAACUUCUUUUGUUGGGGAUGAAUGAGCGCGUGAAUAACGCGACGUGACAGUACCCGACGAAUAAGCCACGGCUAACUACGUGCCAGCAGCCGCGGUAAUACGUAGGUGGCAAGCGUUACUCGGAAUCACUAGGCGUAAAGCGCAGGUAGGCGGUUCGGUAAGUCUUUUGUGAAAGCUCCCGGCUCAACUGGGAGAGGCCAAGGGAAACUGCCGGGCUAGAGUGUGGUAGGGGAAGCUGGAAUUCCCGGUGUAGCGGUGAAAUGCGUAGAUAUCGGGAGGAAUACCUAUGGCGAAAGCAGGCUUCUGGGCCAUCACUGACGCUGAGCUGCGAAAGCUAGGGGAGCAAACAGGAUUAGAAACCCCUGUAGUCC